UAUACAUGACUCUGCGCAUAUCAAUAAGCGGAGGAAAAGAAACUAACAAGGAUUCCCCUAGUAACGGCGAGUGAAGCGGGAAGAGCUCAAAUUUGAAAUCUUAAAGGGUUUCCCUUUACGAAUUGUAGUUUAAAGAAGUGUUUUCUGUUGAGGUUUUGGUAAAAGUUCUUUGGAAUAGGACAUCAUAGAGGGUGAGAAUCCCGUAUUUGACCUUUACUUUCAACUUUGUGAUACACUUUCAAAGAGUCGGAUUGUUUGGGAAUGCAGUCCAAAAUGGGUGGUAAAUUUCAUCUAAAGCUAAAUAUUGGCGAGGAGACCGAUAGCGAACAAGUACCGUGAGGGAAAGAUGAAAAGAACUUUGAAAAGAGAGUUAAACAGUACGUGAAAUUGUCAAAAGGGAAGCGUUUGACACCAGUGUUGUUUUUCUGAAAAUCAAUUAAAGAACUGUUUAUGCUAAGCUGUUUAGACUUUAUCAGCUAUCUGUUUAGUUUUGAGCUUUUCUUUAAUGCACUUUUCAGUUAACAAGUCAACAUCAAUUUCUUUUGCUGUAAAAAAGCUUGAGGAAGGUGGCUUGAGAUUCGUCUUAAGUGUUUAUAGCCUCUUGCCUAUGCAGUCGGAGAGAUUGAGGUCUGCAGCGUAGAUCCUUCGGGGCUAAAUGCAUUUGUGCUAAGUUAUAGCAUUUUAUAGACAACUUGUUGACUAUGAUUUGUCUUGUAGCUUACUCGCUUAUGUUAUUUUACCUACGCUUAGGAUGUUGAUCUACAGAGCGAGAGU
RNAcentral lists this ribosomal RNA (774 nucleotides) under uncultured Neocallimastigales. Its description in RNAcentral is "partial large subunit ribosomal RNA". It matches the Rfam family "Eukaryotic large subunit ribosomal RNA", at positions 22 to 635 of the family's 3401-position model. Lineage: Eukaryota; Fungi; Neocallimastigomycota; Neocallimastigomycetes; Neocallimastigales. The record is from RNAcentral.